Molecule: long non-coding RNA, 226 nt
Organism: Zingiber officinale
Lineage: Eukaryota; Viridiplantae; Streptophyta; Magnoliopsida; Zingiberales; Zingiberaceae
Exons: 3
Source: RefSeq, a predicted model, not a curated record
CCUUAGCGAAUUGGGAUGAGGAUAAAGUUGAUUCUUGCUCUUGGUUUGGGGUUCAGUGCUCCGCUGAUGGCAGAGUCUUGGUUCUGUACUUGAAGGAUCAUUCUCUUAAGGGUACACUAUCACCAGAUAUCAGCAAACUCAAGCACUUGAAUGCCUUAAUUUUACAUAACAAUUCCUUCUAUGGAGUUGUUCCUGUUGGCAUUGGGCAAUUGUAAAAGCUGGAGAU